UGUCUGGAUAGCUCAGUUGGUUAGAGUAAAAGACUGAAAAUCUUUGUGUCGGUGGUUCAAAUCCACCUCCAGACAA
This 76-nucleotide transfer RNA is filed under the name Pseudoperonospora cubensis. RNAcentral describes it as "tRNA-Phe". It matches the Rfam family "tRNA". From Rfam's summary of the family: Transfer RNA (tRNA) molecules are approximately 80 nucleotides in length. Their secondary structure includes four short double-helical elements and three loops (D, anti-codon, and T loops). Lineage: Eukaryota; Oomycota; Peronosporomycetes; Peronosporales; Peronosporaceae. The record is from RNAcentral.